UCGUAUUACUCCCUUCACAACCAAAAAGAAUACUCCCUGCACCAAAGAACAACUAGUAACAAUAAAAUUUACUUCUCUCAUGUUACCUACAACAACAUUACUACUACAAUCUGCAGCAGCCCAUAAAUAAGAGAACAAUAACACUCUCUCAUGUCCUUCCAAAAGACAACCAAGAAUAUAUCUUUAGGUUUUGCUCGACAUUUCGAGUUUGUGGUUUUUGCAUGUUAGGUAUUGAAAAUUAAUUUCCAUAAUAGAUAAUCCUCAAUCUCCCAUUAUAAUGCAGUUUGACAAUUAUAUGAAACUUGAUUCCGACAAAAAAUUAUGUACUUGUUCAAAUUCACAUGUG
RNAcentral lists this long non-coding RNA (346 nucleotides) under Capsicum annuum. RNAcentral's name for it is "long non-coding RNA (CANN_LNC014554)". The record is from RNAcentral. Lineage: Eukaryota; Viridiplantae; Streptophyta; Magnoliopsida; Solanales; Solanaceae.